AUGGCACAUGUGCCAAAGAUAGCAUGCUGAGUGCUGGAGCUCAUUACUAGGAAGGCAGAGGGAUGGAGGGGGAGCUACUCCCUGCCCCCUCUCCAUCCCACCAGACAACAUUUUUUUCACUUCACCCACCUUUCUGCCCAGAAGCCCAAUGAGAUCACACAGGGGGUAAAGUGGUCAGCUCACAAGUGGCUCUACACUGGCUGAGGACAUUCCUCACUUCACCUGCUCCUCUGUCAGGCAGCCCAAUGGGAGUACUUCCUCUCUCCCCUAUUUGGGGAUGGACCCAAGAGUGAUACAUGAUUGGAGCCAAGAUUUAGGCUUGAUGUCAGGAGAACUUUUGAACAAAGCAAGCUAACUGCCCACCUGGUGGGCUGCUUCAGAAGAGGGUGAGCUGCCCUUCCUUGGAGGUCUUCAAACAAAGGAUCAAGGGAUUUUCAGACCUGGAAGGAAUCUCAGAAGCCAUGAUGUGUCUCAUGCAUUUAAAGGAAGACCCUAUAAUAGACUUGACAUUCUUGAAGGCAUCUCAACCUGUCACAAGGCAUUGGGAGGGUUUCUUUAGAGACUAUUGGUGAGACAUGAAGGGUAAAGGGAGUGUGCCUUUGAAGAUCAACCACAGGCAUGCAGCAGUGACCGCUGAGAGUUUGUUGCACAUGGCUAUUAAGAACCUUUCUCCAAAUAGAUGUGCUUAGAAGGUGACAGGGAAUAGAGGCCAACCUGGGGCCUUCCAGACAGAUCUAUGGGCACAAAAAAUUUCCCUGUGACAGGAGACACUAUGAAGCACAAAGGAGAGAAAGAAACCCUAUUUCCUGGGGGUGGGUUGGAUGUCACGGGAUGAGGUUGGCUACUUUUCAGCUCUUGAUUUAGUGGUAGGUUAGACAAAAUCUACCAGAGAUUUUAAAGAUUAUGUCACCUCUGACUACUACCUUUCACAGAAGACCCGAGAUAUGUCCCUGUACCCAUUAGGUUCUUUAUUUUUAUACCUGCUUAUAUCACCUGUUGUUGGCAUGUGGUUCUGGGUAAUUAUCCUGGGAGUCUUCACAAAUUAAUCCUGCUGUCACUUCCCAAAUGCAACAGAUAGGUCAACAGCUAUGAUUAAAUUGUCUGUGUUAAUGAGUGGUUAGCUCACAUAUGAUUAUAGUUUCCUCUCCAAGUUUCUGUAAAGCUAUUUAAAGACAUUUUAUCCACUGAAGUUAUGUACACCUAAUCCUUUGAGGCA
RNAcentral lists this long non-coding RNA (1216 nucleotides) under Monodelphis domestica (gray short-tailed opossum). RNAcentral's name for it is "lncRNA (ENSMODG00000038701.1)". The record is from RNAcentral. Lineage: Eukaryota; Metazoa; Chordata; Mammalia; Didelphimorphia; Didelphidae.